UUGAUCCUGGCUCAGGAUGAACGCUAGCGGCGCGCUUAAUGCAUGCAAGUCGAGCGAUGAGACUCCUACGGGAGCACAUCAGCGGCAGACGGGUGAGUAACACGUAGAUGACGUACCCUCAAGACGGGGAUAACGGAUGGAAACAUGCGCUAAUACCGGAUGACCUUACGAUGUCAGAAUGGUAAGGAAAGCUACGGCGCUUGAGGAGCGGUCUGCGGCCCAUCAGCUAGUUGGUAGGGUAAAGGCCUACCAAGGCGAAGACGGGUAGGGGGUGUGAGAGCACGGCCCCCCACAAUGGGACUGAGACACGGCCCAUACUCCUACGGGAGGCAGCAGCAGGGAAUAUUGCACAAUGGACGGAAGUCUGAUGCAGCGACGCCGCGUGAGUGAAGAAGGCCUUCGGGUUGUAAAACUCUUUUGAGGGGGAAGAGCGAGGACGGUACCCCUGGAAUAAGCGUCGGCUAACUACGUGCCAGCAGCCGCGGUAAGACGUAGGACGCGAGCGUUAUCCGGAUUUACUGGGCGUAAAGCGUCUGUAGGCGGAUGUGUAAGUUGGGCGUGAAAGCUCCGGGCUUAACCCGGAGAGGCCGUUCAAUACUGCAUAACUUGAGGGUGUCAGAGGGGAGCGGAAUUCCCGGUGUAGCGGUAAAAUGCGCAGAGAUCGGGAGGAACACCAGUGGCGGAGGCGGUUCCCUGGGGCACACCUGACGCUGAGAGACGAAAGCUAGGGGAGCGAACAGGAUUAGAGACCCUGGUAGUCCUAGCCCUAAACGAUGAAUGCUAGGUGUGGGAUCGAAUGGUUCCGUGCCGGAGCGAACGCGAUAAGCAUUCCGNCUGGGGAGUACGGCCGCAAGGUUAAAACUCAAACGAAUUGACGGGGCCCCGCACAAGCAGCGGAGCGUGUGGUUUAAUUCGAUGCUACACGA
This 926-nucleotide ribosomal RNA is filed under the name uncultured organism. RNAcentral's name for it is "bacterial SSU rRNA". It matches the Rfam family "Bacterial small subunit ribosomal RNA", at positions 13 to 964 of the family's 1533-position model. The record is from RNAcentral.